CUACGGGAGGCAGCAGUGGGGAAUAUUGCACAAUGGGCGGAAGCCUGAUGCAGCAACGCCGCGUGAGUGAAGAAGGUUUUCGGAUUGUAAAGCUCUGUCUUUGGGGACGAUAAUGACGGUACCCAAGGAGGAAGCCACGGCUAACUACGUGCCAGCAGCCGCGGUAAUA
This 169-nucleotide ribosomal RNA is filed under the name uncultured Clostridium sp. RNAcentral describes it as "partial 16S ribosomal RNA". It matches the Rfam family "Bacterial small subunit ribosomal RNA", at positions 339 to 525 of the family's 1533-position model. Lineage: Bacteria; Bacillati; Bacillota; Clostridia; Eubacteriales; Clostridiaceae. The record is from RNAcentral.